This is a non-coding RNA of Meleagris gallopavo (turkey), 763 nucleotides long. NCBI's taxonomy places the organism in Eukaryota, Metazoa, Chordata, Aves, Galliformes, Phasianidae. The record is from RefSeq and is a predicted model, not a curated record.
CACCGUCAGCGUGCGUGGAGGAAUUCUCUCUGUGGGGAAAUGCCCAAAUGGGCGCUGGGUGAGAUCUGGGGCACUGGGAUCCCCUGGAGGGCCGCAGUGCCAGGAGCAGAGGAGCCUGCUGCCUUACCUGCCAUGGUAGCUCGAGAGUGGCAGCGGGGGGUUCCGUGAGCGCUGGGGUCAGCCCCUCUGCCCUGAGCUCACAGUGCCCCUCUCUGACAUGGACCCGUGGUGUCACAGGCAUUGCUCUGAGCCUGCCCUGUCACCAGCACUUGCUGUGGCUGCAGUCGUGGUGGUGACAGCAUGGGACGAGUGUGGGGAGCUAUGGCCCGUCUCAUACUCCUCCUCCUGAUGGCUGCAACGUGCUGUCAGGACAGUGCUGCUCCAUGGCAGGCACCAGGAGCAGAUGACUACGCUGGUUCUGUUCCUGCGGUUGCCUGGUCAGACUCAGCUUUUGUUCCUGAGGUGGAACCUGGAGACAGUUCCACACAGGGAUUGCUGUGUAUCAGCACGGUGCCACUGCAGGCACCCUGCACGUAUGGUUGAGAUGCUGCUGCGUGGAAGGGAGAGAUGGGUGCUGUGGAGAGAUCCUCCGUUGUUCCCAUCUGGAGAUGGGUAUGUGGACGUGUUUGACACAACCUGCUCUGUCUUGCUGGUUUACAGAUGUGAGUGGAAGUGAAUGGGGUGCAGAAUCCCAGCCGGCUCCUGGGUCCGAAGCGGUUUCUAUCCCAGUAAUACAUCAAUAAAGAACUGCAUUAUUUCCUAA